AUAACUGUUUGAACUGAUCCUUUACCAAAGCUUGUGGUGCCAAGUAUUAAUGCUCUUUGAUGAUCCUGAAGUGCACCUGCGACAAUUUCUGACGCUGACGCUGAGCCCCCAUUAAUAAGCACGAUUAACGGUUCAUCAUAGCUAACGUCUGUAUUGCUGGCAAAGUAUGACCUUGCCGAAUGAGCAAUCCUACCCUCAGUGUAAACAAUUAAUCCUUGUUCAAUAAAUGCGUCAGUUACCUCAACGGCGCUCUGCAAAAUACCGCCAGGGUUGUUACGCA
RNAcentral lists this non-coding RNA (280 nucleotides) under marine eukaryotic metagenome. The record is from RNAcentral.